AUGAGACGCCUGAGCAGGCCUGAACGCCAGCUGCCUGGGCACCAUAGUGAAGGUAAUGGGAUAAUCCAGCUGCCUGGGCACCAUAGUGAAGGUAAUGGGAUAAUCCAGCUGCCUGGGCACCACAGUGAGGGUUAUGGGAUAAUCCAGCUGCCUGGGCACCACACUGAAGGUAAUGGGAUAAUCCGGCUGCCUGGGCACCACACUGAAGGUAAUGGGAUAAUCCGGCUGCCUGGGCACCACAGUGAGGGUUAUGGGAUAAUCCAGCUGCCUGGGCACCAUAGUGAAGGUAAUGGGAUAAUCCAGCUG
Molecule: long non-coding RNA, 306 nt
Filed under: Homo sapiens (human)
Lineage: Eukaryota; Metazoa; Chordata; Mammalia; Primates; Hominidae
Description: non-protein coding lnc-IFITM5-2:2
Source: RNAcentral